This is a long non-coding RNA of Strigops habroptila (Kakapo), 568 nucleotides long. RefSeq lists it as uncharacterized. The transcript has 3 exons. The record is from RefSeq and is a predicted model, not a curated record. NCBI's taxonomy places the organism in Eukaryota, Metazoa, Chordata, Aves, Psittaciformes, Psittacidae.
UCAUUCAACUAGACACUGGCAUUUCCUGGGCACUAAGACGAGGAAAAGCCAAACUGGGAAGCAGGUGGGAGAAGAAGGGACAUGCACAUGAAGGAAAAAGAAGAAACUGUGAUGUAAAUACCUGCAGCUGAGAGAGACUAUUUCUGAACCAGCACGCUUGCAGGAGCAGUAGGAAUGACCAUAAAACUAAUGAGGUGAAAGUACAAUCACUGAAGCUAAUAUAAUCAGAGUGAUGAGACAAAAGUCUGCUGCCAUGAAAUACUGCUGAAGAAGAUGACAUUGACAAUACUGAUAGCAACACAGAUCACACACAGCUGCUGCUUCCACUAUGAGAAACAUGAAUUCUGGAAAGCAUAUUCAUUAUCUGGCUGUUCAAAGCAACAGAGCAUGCAAGCCUCACCCUGCCUGGCUUACCUGAGAAAUCAACAUCUCUCUCUGAUUAAGUGACUGCCAGCCAGUCACCUUCUCACUCUAACCUUGAUGUGGCAGGACUGUGACAAGCGCAUACAGUGUAACAUCACAAAAUAUUUCACUGAUGCUCACAAAUAAAUAGCUUAAUUUGUUUUAA